Parus major (Great Tit) is the source of this 1216-nucleotide long non-coding RNA. RefSeq lists it as uncharacterized. The record is from RefSeq and is a predicted model, not a curated record. The transcript is spliced from 5 exons. NCBI's taxonomy places the organism in Eukaryota, Metazoa, Chordata, Aves, Passeriformes, Paridae.
GUGUCAUAGAGAGAAGCUGGAGUAGAAAAAGCUGUUGAUAAAUCGUCUUCCUCUGAAAUCCUAAGCAGACAGAAUGCUCCUGAGUGAAAACCAUAAAGAAAGCCCUUUUUCCACUGCUAGGCUGACAAUCAAGCAUGCUGAGAGUCAAGCCUUUUGUGGGUGAUUCAUGGCUCCGGGGUCACACAGGUUGGAGCUUCUCAUCUGAAGGGGAUUAGGUGUUUCCAAGGAAGCACAGUUCUUCAGUGCCUUCUGAAGCAUAUCCUUGAAGUUUUUGGAGCCUGAGACCUGCUUAAGACCUCCCUCAUUACUCUGUCUCAUCACAUGAGAAGUCCAUCACAGCUUUGGCAGAAGGUUCUGAUUGGAGCCAGAAAGAAGCCAUGGUUACAAGAGGAUCCCAGAUGUGUUCAAGAGCUCCAUCCAGCUGACAGGGAGCUCAAGGAACAAGAGAUCCCCCCACAAAUGAGAAAAUAGAAGACCAGAAGUGCAAGCCUCUUCCUUUUUCCAGCAACACCUUUCAUGGCUCUUCAUGUAGAGACACUCCCAAGGAAGAAAACGGCAAUUCUUUCACUGACCUUUCUUAGAAGACAAUUGCAGAAUUGAAGGAAUUAAUGAAAUUCCAGACAAGAAACAAAGAGAAGAGAUCUGCUGCCACUAAUGCAGGGGUGGACCGAUGCCUUGACCAUCAUGAAUGAUGCUUGAAAGCAGCCACUGCUUUCUCCCACAUUUGUGUACCCUGCCAUGGAUGUCCUUCAUCAGUUGUGCUAAAUCUGCAAUUAAUAAAUAUCAGACAGAGGAAUAAAGAUGUUAUUAAUUGGGGGAAAAAAAAAUUAAAUUCCCUCAUCAAGAACAGCGGGGAGAGGAAGGCUGAGGGGAGAAAGAGGAGGAAGUGGGUAUGCUGAGAGCACAGGAAAAGGACAGGGAGAGGGGACAGGCAGUGUGAACAGGAGAAGGAAGAGGCAAGAAGAAGCAGUUGGAGAUGAGACACAGGCACAAAGGAAUGGAUACCAAGGAGGACAAAGAGCGGUGUGGGGUAGAUGGAGGGAACGGCAUAAAUGUGUUUGCAGAAGAAUACACACUAAUUCUUGGAAUAUGCCAGUCCCUUAAAUCACUGCCACAGGAGGGGAGCCAUCCAAGGCUGGGGAGCCCCACGGACUCUGGGUGACAGGCCCAUGGUCUUUCCUCAAUAAGAGACUGAGCAGAGACGGGAAAGCUUGAA